Astatotilapia calliptera (eastern happy) is the source of this 1112-nucleotide long non-coding RNA. Lineage: Eukaryota; Metazoa; Chordata; Actinopteri; Cichliformes; Cichlidae. The record is from Ensembl.
CACAUCUUAUGCAAGUCUUUUAUAAGUUUUUACUAUUUCUUUUCCAUAUGGGUUGACUCGCUCCGUCUCCAGUUUCCGCCACCAUGAUUUCUCGUUUGUCUACUCCAGCACUGAUAAUUGGCUUCUGUCUUGUGUCAGUGAUGUAAAAGAAGGAUUUAAUGCGACAUGACCAUUCAAACAGCAGUCGCUUUUUAAAACAUCAGAUAUGUAUCGGAUUCAGUACCACAUACAAAAGUGACCUAGGUCGGAUUUGAAAAUAUCGGACUUGUGCUGUUCAAACUGUCAUACCAUGAUCGGAUAUGGGUCGCAUGCAGUGUGAACGCAGCCUUAGUUAAACUCACCAGGUGUGUGUGAACAGUAUGGUUGUAAUUAUGUAUAGCAUGUAUGAGCACUUGCACUCACACAUUAAGUAUAAUCACAGCAAUCUAAACAAUUUUUAAAUUUUUUUUAAUUUAUUUAUUUUUAUUUAAUUUUAAUUUGUUUGUUUUUUUCAUGGAAAGCCAAACUGAGCCGAAUUGAAUUGUCAAAGUUGCCUGCCCGCCCAAAUCAUAUGGUCUGCUGCUGUGGCCUCUUCUUCCUCUCAGCCUUAAUUCAUCUUUCUCUAUCUUUGACUGAAGUUAUCUCAAAUUUAUUUCUCUUCCAGUUAAACGCAGCAGCUGCAGCUUUAACUAGCUGAGGAGUGUGACUGCGGCAAACUGCACAGAAAAUUUGUGUAAUUUCUGAUGUUCAUUGGGCUGUUUUCAAAGUUACAUCUAAAAUUACCUGCCACUUAAAAAGUUAAGCUAAGCUAAUAUGAACACUGCUGAAUUUCCUUCUUCACUGGUAUUAGUUUAAGUCUGUUGAGCAUUUGACGUGUCGAGGAGUUAAGUGCUAAUGGAACUAGCUAGCUAUAUACUUGCUAGAUAUAAAAGUACCACAACCACAACUUCCUGACACUUUUACCCUGUAGAACAGUGUUAAUAGUGUUGUAAAUAAUGCAUAAAUGUUUUUGGCUUCUUUUAUCUCUUUGUGUGCCAUAAUAACUAAUGAUGAAUACAUCAUUAUUGUAUUCAUCAUGCAUCAUCAGUGCUUCUUCCCUAAAAGUCUGUUUGAUUUUUGAAACCGAAUUUUAU